UACGUAGGGCGCAAGCGUUGUCCGGAAUUAUUGGGCGUAAAGAGCUCGUAGGCGGUCUGUCGCGUCUGCUGUGAAAACCCGAGGCUCAACCUCGGGCCUGCAGUGGGUACGGGCAGACUAGAGUGCGGUAGGGGAGACUGGAAUUCCUGGUGUAGCGGUGGAAUGCGCAGAUAUCAGGAAGAACACCCGUGGCGAAAGCGGCUCUCUGGAACGGUACUGACGCUGAGACGCGAAAGCGUGGGGAGCGAACAGG
RNAcentral lists this ribosomal RNA (253 nucleotides) under uncultured bacterium. RNAcentral describes it as "partial 16S ribosomal RNA". It matches the Rfam family "Bacterial small subunit ribosomal RNA", at positions 524 to 776 of the family's 1533-position model. The record is from RNAcentral.